AUUGAACGCUGGCGGCAGGCCUAACACAUGCAAGUCGAGCGGAUGAAGGGAGCUUGCUCCUGGAUUCAGCGGCGGACGGGUGAGUAAUGCCUAGGAAUCUGCCUGGUAGUGGGGGAUAACGUCCGGAAACGGGCGCUAAUACCGCAUACGUCCUGAGGGAGAAAGUGGGGGAUCUUCGGACCUCACGCUAUCAGAUGAGCCUAGGUCGGAUUAGCUAGUUGGUGGGGUAAAGGCCUACCAAGGCGACGAUCCGUAACUGGUCUGAGAGGAUGAUCAGUCACACUGGAACUGAGACACGGUCCAGACUCCUACGGGAGGCAGCAGUGGGGAAUAUUGGACAAUGGGCGAAAGCCUGAUCCAGCCAUGCCGCGUGUGUUAAGAAGGUCUUCGGAUUGUAAAGCACUUUAAGUUGGGAGGAAGGGCAGUAAGUUAAUACCUUGCUGUUUUGACGGUACCAACAGAAUAAGCACCGGCUAACUUCGUG
RNAcentral lists this ribosomal RNA (484 nucleotides) under uncultured bacterium. RNAcentral's name for it is "partial 16S ribosomal RNA". It matches the Rfam family "Bacterial small subunit ribosomal RNA", at positions 30 to 507 of the family's 1533-position model. The record is from RNAcentral.